This 382-nucleotide long non-coding RNA is filed under the name Homo sapiens (human). Its description in RNAcentral is "lncAB352.1". Lineage: Eukaryota; Metazoa; Chordata; Mammalia; Primates; Hominidae. The record is from RNAcentral.
UGAAGAAUGUGGUUUCAGCUGGAAUCUAGUCUGAUCACGCAGGAAAUUGGAAUAAGAAUUGUACUCCAGGGAUGUCUCCCUUGAGUCAAGAGCUGGGCUUUUUGACCUUCUGUUGAGAAACCCUUCUGGGAACCAGAGUGGUUAGGAACAUGGACAUUGAAGUUAGAGCUGGAAUCGAAACUCAGUUCGAAUGCAGCCACCUUUUUGCUUUGCUGAGUGGGAAAUGCAAGAGGGAGGCUAGAGCCAUGUAAGAUGUGCCUGCUUCUCCUUCACCUUCUGCCAUGAUUAUAAGUCUCCUGAGGCCUCCGCAGAAACAGAAGCCACCAUGCUUCCUGUAUAGCCUGCAGAACUGUGAGCCAAUUAAACCUCUUUUUAAAAUAAA